GACAAAAAGGGAUUUUUCUAUUCGAAAUCCCCCAAGAAGGGACAGUCUACGAGAAAUCAUAUCAUAUAUUGUCAGAUUUUAUAUUUGGCCUAACUCAUCCUCACAAAANNNNNNNNNNNUAUAAACGCUACACAGGCCAUAUCUCUUAGCAAUGUGGGACUAAAUCCACCCCUUCACACCCAACACAAUGAAGGUGUUGGAGGCUGCAAUGAAGGCAACCCAAAUGCCGCAAUUAGGCAGAUGGGCGUGGACCGCAAUGAAGGCGGAAUAUCCAACAUAUAUAAAAUGAAAAAAGCCUCGAAGGUUUCAUCCCUGAAAAUGCUAGGGGGUGCUCGGAAAUGGUUAAAGCUUACCAGUUUGAAGUUUAGAUGCAGUGUAGUAUUCUUUCUACCACUAUGCUAAUGUUAAUAUGGAAAUUUGGAAUUUUAUCGAUAUAGAACACUCAUGUCAAUAAAAUGACUUAAAUUCUCUUUACGAUGAAAAAUAGGAAAAACCGA
Molecule: long non-coding RNA, 497 nt
Filed under: Trifolium pratense (red clover)
Lineage: Eukaryota; Viridiplantae; Streptophyta; Magnoliopsida; Fabales; Fabaceae
Description: long non-coding RNA (TPRA_LNC003132)
Source: RNAcentral